This 542-nucleotide ribosomal RNA is filed under the name uncultured bacterium. RNAcentral describes it as "bacterial SSU rRNA". It matches the Rfam family "Bacterial small subunit ribosomal RNA", at positions 355 to 896 of the family's 1533-position model. The record is from RNAcentral.
UGAGGAAUAUUGGUCAAUGGACGGAAGUCUGAACCAGCCAAGUAGCGUGCAGGAUGACGGCCCUAUGGGUUGUAAACUGCUUUUGUAUGGGGAUAAAAGUCAAUCACGCGUGAUUGUUUGCAGGUACCAUACAAAUAAGGACCGGCUAAUUCCGUGCCAGCAGCCGCGGUAAUACGGAAGGUCCGGGCGUUAUCCGGAUUUAUUGGGUUUAAAGGGAGCGUAGGCUGGAGAUUAAGUGUGUUGUGAAAUGUAGACGCUCAACGUCUGACUUGCAGCGCAUACUGGUUUCCUUGAGUACGCACAACGUUGGCGGAAUUCGUCGUGUAGCGGUGAAAUGCUUAGAUAUGACGAAGAACUCCGAUUGCGAAGGCAGCUGACGGGAGCGCAACUGACGCUGAAGCUCGAAGGUGCGGGUAUCGAACAGGAUUAGAUACCCUGGUAGUCCGCACAGUAAACGAUGGAUGCCCGCUGUUGGUACCUGGUAUCAGCGGCUAAGCGAAAGCAUUAAGCAUCCCACCUGGGGGAGUACGCCGGCAACGGUG